RNAcentral lists this ribosomal RNA (484 nucleotides) under uncultured bacterium. RNAcentral's name for it is "partial 16S ribosomal RNA". It matches the Rfam family "Bacterial small subunit ribosomal RNA", at positions 30 to 507 of the family's 1533-position model. The record is from RNAcentral.
AUUGAACGCUGGCGGCAGGCCUAACACAUGCAAGUCGAGCGGAUGAAGGGAGCUUGCUCCUGGAUUCAGCGGCGGACGGGUGAGUAAUGCCUAGGAAUCUGCCUUGUAGUGGGGGAUAACGUCCGUAAACGGGCGCUAAUACCGCAUCCGUCCUGAGGUAGAAAGUGGGGGAUCUUCGGACCUCACGCUAUCAGCUGAGCCUAGGUCGGAUUAGCUAGUUGGUGGGGUAAAGGCCUACCAAGGCGACGAUCCGUAACUGGUCUGAGAGGAUGAUCAGUCACACUGGAACUGAGACACGGUCCAGACUCCUACGGGAGGCAGCAGUGGGGAGUAUUGGACAAUGGGCGAAAGCCUGAUCCAGCCAUGCCGCGUGUGUGAAGAAGGUCUUCGGAUUGUAAAGCACUUUAAGUUGGGAGGAAGGGCAGUAAGUUAAUACCUUGCUGUUUUGACGUUACCAACAGAAUAAGCACCGGCUAACUUCGUG